AUGGGGGUUCAAGAGGCAAAAUCAGAAGUUGGAUCAAAACAAUUUGCUUUUCCAAAUGGCUCAAUUUGUUUUCCCAAAAUUCAAUUUCCACUUCCCAUUUUUCACAAAACAUACAUAGCUGUUACAAAAUUAAAGUAUGGAAUCGAGAUUCGAGUGGCAAACCCUAAAACCCAAUUUUCUUAUAACGAAGGAAUAGAGGACGAAAAUGGUAUGUGUUAG
Molecule: non-coding RNA, 219 nt
Organism: Vicia faba (fava bean)
Lineage: Eukaryota; Viridiplantae; Streptophyta; Magnoliopsida; Fabales; Fabaceae
Source: the annotation of a GenBank genome assembly